This 484-nucleotide ribosomal RNA is filed under the name uncultured bacterium. RNAcentral describes it as "partial 16S ribosomal RNA". It matches the Rfam family "Bacterial small subunit ribosomal RNA", at positions 28 to 523 of the family's 1533-position model. The record is from RNAcentral.
GAUGAACGCUGGCGGCGUGCUUAACACAUGCAAGUCGAACGGUGAAGCAGGAGCUUGCUCUUGUGGAUCAGUGGCGAACGGGUGAGUAACACGUGAGCAACCUGCCCCUGACUCUGGGAUAAGCGCUGGAAACGGCGUCUAAUACUGGAUAUGUGAUGUGACUGCAUGGUCUGCAUCUGGAAAGAAUUUCGGUUGGGGAUGGGCUCACGGCCUAUCAGCUUGGUGGUGAGGUAAUGGCUCACCAAGGCGUCGACGGGUAGCCGGCCUGAGAGGGUGACCGGCCACACUGGGACGGGACCACGGCCCAGACUCCUACGGGAGGCAGGAGUGGGGGGUAUUGCACAAUGGGCGGAAGCCUGAUUCAGCAAGGCCGCGUGAGGGGUGGCGGCCUGCGGGUUGUAAACCUCUUUUGGCAGUGAAGAAGCGAACGUGACGGUAGCUGCAGAAAAAGCACCGGCUAAGUACGUGCCAGCCGCCGCCGUAA